This 377-nucleotide unclassified non-coding RNA is filed under the name uncultured Parachlamydiaceae bacterium. Its description in RNAcentral is "contains 16S-23S intergenic spacer region". The record is from RNAcentral. Lineage: Bacteria; Pseudomonadati; Chlamydiota; Chlamydiia; Parachlamydiales; Parachlamydiaceae.
UCCCGGUUAACCCGGGCAGUCUCAUUAGAGUUCCCACCUUAAAUGUUGGCAACUAAUGAUAAGGGUUGCGCUCGUUGCUGGACUUAACCAAACACCUCACGGCACGAGCUGACGACAGCCAUGCAGCACCUGUGCACUGGCCCCGAAGGGAAAUAUCAUCUCUGAUAUCGUCCAGUGCAUGUCAAACCUGGGUAAGGUUCUUCGCGUUGCAUCGAAUUAAACCACAUGCUCCACUGCUUGUGCGGGUCCCCGUCAAUUCUUUUGAGUUUCAGCCUUGCGACUGUACUCCUCAGGCGGUAUACUUAUCGCGUUUGCUUCGGCACAACCGGGGUUGAGUCCAGUUACACCAAGUAUACAUCGUUUAAGGCAAGGACUAC